UUCACAUGCUACUCACGCAGAUAGAAUGGAAGCCCAGCUUGGCCGAAGACCUUUUCCUUAUGAACUUUUCCAUAAGACCCACACUAGGAAAGGCACCUCCGAUAUGGUUGAUUCACGAGCGCAAUCAAUUAAGGAUGCAUUUUUGGCGCUUAAGGAGCAGUCGUCUCAACCACAAGAGGG
Molecule: long non-coding RNA, 180 nt
Organism: Hevea brasiliensis (rubber tree)
Lineage: Eukaryota; Viridiplantae; Streptophyta; Magnoliopsida; Malpighiales; Euphorbiaceae
Exons: 3
Source: RefSeq, a predicted model, not a curated record